Molecule: ribosomal RNA, 253 nt
Filed under: uncultured bacterium
Lineage: Bacteria
Description: partial 16S ribosomal RNA
Rfam family: Bacterial small subunit ribosomal RNA
Source: RNAcentral
UACGUAGGGUGCGAGCGUUGUCCGGAAUUACUGGGCGUAAAGAGUUCGUAGGCGGUUUGUCGCGUCGUUCGUGAAAACUUGGGGCUUAACUCCAAGCGUGCGGGCGAUACGGGCAGACUUGAGUACUACAGGGGAGACUGGAAUUCCUGGUGUAGCGGUGAAAUGCGCAGAUAUCGGGAAGAACACCCGUGGCGAAGGCGGUUCUCUGGGACGGUACUGACGCUGAGAAGCGAAAGCAUGGGGAGCAAACAGG